This 245-nucleotide ribosomal RNA is filed under the name uncultured bacterium. RNAcentral describes it as "partial 16S ribosomal RNA". It matches the Rfam family "Bacterial small subunit ribosomal RNA", at positions 524 to 768 of the family's 1533-position model. The record is from RNAcentral.
UACGUAGGUGGCGAGCGUUAUCCGGAAUUACUGGGUGUAAAGGGUGUGUAGGCGGGGUGGCAAGUCAGGCGUGAAAUGCGAAGGCUCAACCUUCGAGCUGCGCUUGAAACUGUCAUUCUUGAGAGUGGGAGAGGUAAACGGAAUUCCUGGUGUAGUAGUGAAAUGCGUAGAUAUCAGGAGGAACACCGGUGGCGAAGGCGGUUUACUGGACCACCACUGACGCUGAGACACGAAAGCGUGGGGAG